RNAcentral lists this ribosomal RNA (253 nucleotides) under uncultured bacterium. RNAcentral's name for it is "partial 16S ribosomal RNA". It matches the Rfam family "Bacterial small subunit ribosomal RNA", at positions 524 to 776 of the family's 1533-position model. The record is from RNAcentral.
UACGUAGGCAGCAAGCGUUGUCCGGAAUUAUUGGGCGUAAAGAGCGUGUAGGCGGUCCGGUAAGUCAGCUGUGAAAGUCAAGGGCUCAACCCUUGAAAGCCGGUUGAUACUGUCGGGCUAGAGUCCGGAAGAGGCGAGUGGAAUUCCCGGUGUAGCGGUGAAAUGCGCAGAUAUCGGGAGGAACACCAAUGGCGAAGGCAGCUCGCUGGGACGGUACUGACGCUGAGACGCGAAAGCGUGGGGAGCAAACAGG